Molecule: long non-coding RNA, 669 nt
Filed under: Homo sapiens (human)
Lineage: Eukaryota; Metazoa; Chordata; Mammalia; Primates; Hominidae
Description: HSALNT0401194
Source: RNAcentral
UGGGGGCAUGGAGGAGCAGGGGCCCGCUCACAGCAGCAGCACAGCCACCAGGAGCCCGUCCACCAGGAAGGCGGCCUUGUGCUAGACUCUGGGGAUAUGGAAAUGAGCAAAGUAGAUGUACCCCCGAAACUUGUGGACUAAUGGAGGAGACGGACCUUAAUCAGAUCGUCAUUCAAAGAUACUAUUACAAACUGUUCUGAGAGCCGAGGAAGCAGGAAGGAGCUGUGAGAGACUGAGCUCUAACCUUGGCCAUCAAAGACAAGCUGUGCAGCUCUGGUUUUUUGAGGGCAGGACAUGGAGGGUCAGGCCCAGCUGGAGGCGCACCAAAGCCCAGAGAAAAUUCAGAACCACGUGAACUUGUUGGAUUUCAGCCCCUUGAAGCACAUGUUGCUAUUGCAGCUGCCUUGAUAACUGGGGGGACAGGAGGAGCACGGCUUUCCCAUCUUGUACGGGGACUCGCCAAUCCAGUUGCCCCUGGAAGAGAAAAGGACCCAGGGAGACAGAGGAGCAUUAGGUGAGUAACCUUCACACAGAUGUCCAGAUCUCAGCGCUGCCACUGACCAGCCCUGGGGACCUGGGGCAAGUCACAUCUGCAAGCCUUGGUUUCUUUUUUUUCUUUCCUUUAUUUAUUUAUUUAUUUAUUUUGUUUUGCUCUGUCACCCAUAGCUC